CGCCUCUAUAUAAAACAAGCCAUAUCAAUUUAAAGGACGUGCAAUCAACAAAGUGACUAUCUUGAAUAGGUAAACAUGGUGAAGAAAAACAACAAUAAUGAUGGUAUUAAUCAAGAAAAUGAAGAUAAACUCGAGAAGCAGAAAGAAAAGCUAAAUGAAGAAAUAAAAGCACUAGAAGAGGCAUUAGAGAAACAAGAAGCCCGUUUGAGUGGACUCCAAUCAAACGCAUUCCAACUAGCAAACUACUAUUUCGUUUUCCAAGGUGUUAUCUUAACAACACUUUGCAACCGUAAUACUAUUCUUAAAUGUUCAGAUCGUUGGUUUCUUGCAACACUUUCAGCUUUAGCAGCAACUGUUAAUUUAUUUGCUUUGGUAUCUAUUGGUACCAAGUACAAUCGAAUUUUUAGUCAACAAGCUAAAACUUGGUCUAAGUGCAAUGAGUUGCAAAUAGAACAAGAAAAACAAAGACUUCCAAAUACUAUCAAUAAAUAUCCAUCAUCACCAGCACAACCUGUACACGUUGAUAAAUAUGGAAUCAUACAACGUUGGGUUUAUUUUUCUAUAUGCAUAAUUUUCUUUCUUUUAUUUGCUAUUAUUGUCUUUGUAGGUUGCUUGAGAUUUCUAUGCAUACAUAGAGAGGUACCUAAAAAAAAGGAGACAGAGAUGCAAAGACUGCACUAACAUGAACACAAAAAGGAGCACAUACACAAAAGAGGCAAAACACAACCAAAAUAGAUCAUCUAUUUAAUUAACCGUUGCCCAUUAGACAAUUAAAGUGUUGCUGAAAACGUAGACAACAACGAGAGUAGUCAUCGUCUCAUAGUAGCUAUUUUGUCAUCGGUAAUCUUAAAAGGGAAAAUUUCUUGACCAGACCCUCCAUCCCGAUGGGCCUUUCAUCAUCUUCAGGCGAACAACCCACUUAGGCGAGUUGGGCCUUAGACGAAUGAAACCUGGGUAUUUUGUCUGGGACAGUAUUGAACGGAGAUGUGCCGAAAAAGAAGUGUUUUGUUGUUAACGUGUAUGCAAAAUGUGAUUUAUCUUCGAAAAUAAGAGUUUGGGAUGCUUUGGUUAUGUCCCGAAGAGAUUUUGGAGAAAGAGUGUGGUGUCCAGUAGGCAACUUUAAUGCGGUUAUAGUAGGAGAGAGGAAAGAAUGGGGUGAGUCACAAUAAUUUUGUGGGGUGAUCGGUGGACAUGAAUUAGUUAGGGAGUUUUAUGGUUAGUAUAGAGCUUACAAAUCAUUCGAUCCGAUGUUGGAUUGCAAAUUUACAUGGUUUCGUCUUAAUGGUAUCUCUAAGAAGUGGAACAAUAAUUUUUUGUUUUCGGAUGGGUGUAUUGUCGAAUGGGGUCCUUGUUUUGUUCGGAUGUUAGAUCGAGAUGUUUCGGAUAAUUGUCCUUUCUUGUUGAGGUACAUUAAUACAGAUUGGGGUCCCAAUUCUUUUAGAUUCAAUAAUUCUUGACUUAAACAUGAGAAUUUUAAUUGAUAUGUUUUGAAGGAAAGUUUGAGAGGGCUAAAGGGUCCCCUUAAAACUUGGAAUAAGGAGGAAUUUGGGUGUUUAAAUACGAGAAUAAAGAGGUUGACCGAAGAUAUUAAUGUUUUGGAUGUUAGAGGUGAACUUGUCGGAUUAUCGAAUGUUGAAGUGGAGUGGAGAAAGCGGCCCUUUAAUAAAUAAAUGAAUAAAAAACAUGUUUUUUUUUUAAAAAAAUUAUCAUCGAUUUAAAUUGCAAACAACAUAAAAAAAUAAUCAUCCGUAAUUAAAAUAUUAAGUUUUGUACCCCAAUUUAAUUUAAUUUAAUUUUUUUUUUUUUUCCUUUAGAGAGACUAGAACUGAAAAUUGGGACUUUAUAUUUUGUUGUAAUAUAUUAAGUUUUGCAGCCCUAAUCUAUUGACUUUACUACUUUAUAAUUUAUUUUUUUAAAUCCUCAUUUGUUGGCGGCCCAAUAGCACAUCUAUUUCCGCUGGGCUCGGUUUGGAGUAGGAAAAAAAUAUAAUGUUUUCACAGUUGCUUCAAAUUAGCCAAAAUAAUACCAGAUGGUAUAAAUAGAUGCAAAAGUUUGAAAGUCAGAAACUAAACUCAAAAAACAUGGCAAUGAUAAGGUGGACCAGUGCUAAAAAUUAUUAAAAAUUUUAACGAUUGUCGAUAAUACACUUUAAAAGUAAACAUUUACGACUUUUUUUGUAUUUACAACUAAAAAAAUAAAAUUAGUGACGUCAAUUCAAUACGAGUUACAUUUUUAAUAUCUGCUAUUUCAG
This is an RNA transcript of Trifolium pratense (red clover), 2251 nucleotides long. RefSeq lists it as uncharacterized. NCBI's taxonomy places the organism in Eukaryota, Viridiplantae, Streptophyta, Magnoliopsida, Fabales, Fabaceae. The record is from RefSeq and is a predicted model, not a curated record. The transcript has 3 exons.